RNAcentral lists this unclassified non-coding RNA (26 nucleotides) under Mus musculus (house mouse). RNAcentral describes it as "oocyte_clustered_small_RNA1470". The record is from RNAcentral. Lineage: Eukaryota; Metazoa; Chordata; Mammalia; Rodentia; Muridae.
UGGUCAUUUUCCUCCUGAGAACAGAG